GGGAACUUCCACUGGACUCCAGAGGAUGUGGCCAAAUCAAUUGUUUGUAUGUUGAUGUCUGGUCCAUUUCUAACUGGCUAUACUCAGACUAUUAAUGAUUGGUAUGAUAGAGAGAUUGAUGCUAUUAACGAACCUUACCGUCCAAUUCCUUCAGGUGCGAUAUCUGAACAAGAGGUCAUUACUCAAAUAUGGGUGCUUCUUUUAGGAGGCCUUGGGUUAGCUGGUAUUUUAGAUGUUUGGGUAAGUCCUUAAAUCUGCUAAUUAUCUAGUUAUUUAUCUGGAAACGUAUCAAUUCUAUGAUCAUUGUUGUUAUAGGCAGGGCAUGACUUUCCUGUAAUAUUUUACCUUGCACUUGGUGGAUCCUUGCUCUCCUACAUCUACUCAGCUCCACCAUUAAAGCUCAAACAGAACGGAUGGAUUGGAAAUUUUGCUCUAGGAGCAAGUUAUAUCAGCUUGCCUUGGUGGGCCGGUCAAGCUUUGUUCGGGACCCUUACACCUGAUGUAAUUGUACUAACACUAUUGUACAGCAUUGCCGGUCUGGGCAUAGCCAUUGUAAAUGAUUUCAAAAGCAUUGAAGGAGAUAGAGCUAUGGGGCUUCAGUCACUUCCAGUAGCUUUUGGUUCUGAAGCUGCUAAAUGGAUUUGUGUUGGUGCCA
RNAcentral lists this unclassified non-coding RNA (655 nucleotides) under Hevea brasiliensis (rubber tree). The record is from RNAcentral. Lineage: Eukaryota; Viridiplantae; Streptophyta; Magnoliopsida; Malpighiales; Euphorbiaceae.